Molecule: ribosomal RNA, 1376 nt
Filed under: uncultured bacterium
Lineage: Bacteria
Description: bacterial SSU rRNA
Rfam family: Bacterial small subunit ribosomal RNA
Source: RNAcentral
GAGUUUGAUCCUGGCUCAGAGUGAACGCUGGCGGCGUGCCUAAUACAUGCAAGUCGAACGGAGAUUAAGUAGCUUGCUAUUUAAUCUUAGUGGCGCACGGGUGAGUAAUAUAUAGCUAAUCUGCCCUACACUAGAGGACAACAGUUGGAAACGACUGCUAAUACUCUAUACUCCUUCUUUACAUAAGUUAAGUCGGGAAAGUUUUUCGGUGUAGGAUGAGGCUAUAUCGUAUCAGCUAGUUGGUAGGGUAACGGCCUACCAAGGCUAUGACGCGUAACUGGUCUGAGAGGAUGAUCAGUCACACUGGAACUGAGACACGGUCCAGACUCCUACGGGAGGCAGCAGUAGGGAAUAUUGCUCAAUGGGGGAAACCCUGAAGCAGCAACGCCGCGUGGAGGAUGACACUUUUCGGAGCGUAAACUCCUUUUCUUGGGAAAGAAUUAUGACGGUACCCAAGGAAUAAGCACCGGCUAACUCCGUGCCAGCAGCCGCGGUAAUACGGAGGGUGCAAGCGUUACUCGGAAUCACUGGGCGUAAAGGACGCGUAGGCGGAUUAUCAAGUCUCUUGUGAAAUCUAACGGCUUAACCGUUAAACUGCUUGGGAAACUGAUAAUCUAGAGUAAGGGAGAGGCAGAUGGAAUUCUUGGUGUAGGGGUAAAAUCCGUAGAGAUCAAGAAGAAUACCCAUUGCGAAAGCGAUCUGCUGGAACUUAACUGACGCUAAUGCGUGAAAGCGUGGGGAGCAAACAGGAUUAGAUACCCUGGUAGUCCACGCCCUAAACGAUGUAUACUAGUUGUUGCUUCGCUAGUCGAGGCAGUAAUGCACCUAACGGAUUAAGUAUACCGCCUGGGGAGUACGGUCGCAAGAUUAAAACUCAAAGGAAUAGACGGGGACCCGCACAAGCGGUGGAGCAUGUGGUUUAAUUCGAAGAUACGCGAAGAACCUUACCCGGACUUGAUAUCUAACAAAUCAUCCAGAGAUGGAAGAGUGUCUGCUUGCAGAAAUGUUAAGACAGGUGCUGCACGGCUGUCGUCAGCCCGUGUCGUGAGAUGUUGGGUUAAGUCCCGCAACGAGCGCAACCCACGUCAUUAGUUGCUAACGGUUCGGCCGAGCACUCUAAUGAGACUGCCUUCGUAAGGAGGAGGAAGGUGUGGACGACGUCAAGUCAUCAUGGCCCUUAUGUCCGGGGCGACACACGUGCUACAAUGGCGUAUACAAUAAGACGCAAUAUCGCGAGAUGGAGCAAAUCUAUAAAAUACGUCCCAGUUCGGAUUGGAGUCUGCAACUCGACUCCAUGAAGCCGGAAUCGCUAGUAAUCGUAGAUCAGCCAUGCUACGGUGAAAUACGUUCCCGGGUCUUGUACACACCGCCCGUCA